This 291-nucleotide ribosomal RNA is filed under the name uncultured bacterium. RNAcentral describes it as "partial 16S ribosomal RNA". It matches the Rfam family "Bacterial small subunit ribosomal RNA", at positions 30 to 321 of the family's 1533-position model. The record is from RNAcentral.
AUUGAACGCUGGCGGCAUGCCUUACACAUGCAAGUCGAACGGCAGCACGGGAGCAAUCCUGGUGGCGAGUGGCGAACGGGUGAGUAAUACAUCGGAACGUGCCCAGUAGUGGGGGAUAACCCGGCGAAAGCCGGACUAAUACCGCAUACGACCUACGGGUGAAAGCGAGGGGAUCGCAAGACCUUGCGCUAUCGGAGCGGCCGAUGUCAGAUUAGCUUGUUGGCGGGGUAAAGCCCACCAAGGCGACGAUCUGUAGCUGGUCUGAGAGGACGACCAGCCACACUGGGACUG